AGCAGAUGUUUCUCUGUAACUGUAACUUUGACAUAAGUGCUAUGAUUUACAUCAUUACAUAUAUGUGAUUUGUGGGAACACUCAAGUUUAGGUGAAACAGGUUAAAAGUAAGCAAGUACAUAUGCAAGUAAAUGAAGUCCUUUGAAUCUGCAUUGUAAACCUACAUAGGGGUGAAGCCCAUGUGAGAAGUGGAGGAGACUGAAGAACUUUGUUGUUUCCAGUUUGUCCAUCUGCUUUGAAGACUGUUCAGGCACUGCAGGAUCUGUGGACAGAACAGAUAACCUGGGAGAAAUAUGGUGCAAAAGUACAAGCCAGUGCCAAUGAACCUGGACAGUUGGCAAAUCACGUCCUUAACUCAGGUGUGGUUUAGAGGAGAGACAGCUUGCAGAGAACUGAAGAAGAUGGAAAAGAAGUGCCUGCUGAGAGUCGUGCCAUUUGUUGGGGACAGCCAGAGGAUGUUGACUCUACUGCCUUCCCUGCAGGAGUCUUCUGUGCAUUGAUGCUCACUGCAGCUGUGUCCGAUUUCCUGAAUGGUGUGCAAGGUAAACAUGCAAUCAAUUAGCUGCACUGCACGAGUGAUGUGAUCACAUAUGCUAGGAUUCAUUGAUUUUAAAAGCAGAAAGGGCUGUUG
RNAcentral lists this long non-coding RNA (631 nucleotides) under Calidris pugnax (ruff). Its description in RNAcentral is "lncRNA (ENSCPUG00000008866.1)". The record is from RNAcentral. Lineage: Eukaryota; Metazoa; Chordata; Aves; Charadriiformes; Scolopacidae.